AACAAACGCUGGCGGCGUGUCUUAAGCAUGCAAGUUGAGCGGCAAGGAGGAGAGAUCCUCCCUAGAGCGGCGGACUGGUGAGUAACGCGUGGGUAAUCUAUCGUAGGCAUGGGGAUAGUCACUAGAAAUAGUGGGUAAUACCGAAUACGUUCCAUGAGGGGAGUAUUCAUGGAAGAAAGGGUGCUACGGCACUGGCCUUAGGUGAGCUCGCGUCCCAUUAGCUAGUUGGUGAGGUAAAGGCCCACCAAGGCGAUGAUGGGUAGCCGGCCUGAGAGGGUGUACGGCCACACUGGGACUGAGAUACGGCCCAGACUCCUACGGGAGGCAGCAGCUAAGAAUAUUCCGCAAUGGACGAAGGUCUGACGGAGCGACGCCGCGUGGAUGAAGAAGGCCGAAAGGUUGUAAAGUUCUUUUGCUAGGGGAGAAUAAGUGAGGGAGGGAAUGGCCCUCAUGAUGACAAGGACUAGCGAAUAAGCCCCGGCCAACUACGUGCCAGCAGCCCG
This 503-nucleotide ribosomal RNA is filed under the name uncultured bacterium. RNAcentral describes it as "bacterial SSU rRNA". It matches the Rfam family "Bacterial small subunit ribosomal RNA", at positions 29 to 517 of the family's 1533-position model. The record is from RNAcentral.